RNAcentral lists this ribosomal RNA (253 nucleotides) under uncultured bacterium. RNAcentral's name for it is "partial 16S ribosomal RNA". It matches the Rfam family "Bacterial small subunit ribosomal RNA", at positions 524 to 776 of the family's 1533-position model. The record is from RNAcentral.
UACGUAGGGUGCAAGCGUUGUCCGGAAUUAUUGGGCGUAAAGAGCUCGUAGGCGGUCUGUCGCGUCGGAUGUGAAAACUCGGGGCUCAACCCCGAGCCUGCAUUCGAUACGGGCAGACUAGAGUUCGGUAGGGGAGACUGGAAUUCCUGGUGUAGCGGUGAAAUGCGCAGAUAUCAGGAGGAACACCGGUGGCGAAGGCGGCGUGCUGGACCUUUUCUGACGCUGAGGCGCGAAAGCUAGGGGAGCAAACGGG